This 100-nucleotide small RNA is filed under the name Salix viminalis (osier). Lineage: Eukaryota; Viridiplantae; Streptophyta; Magnoliopsida; Malpighiales; Salicaceae. The record is from RNAcentral.
AAACCAUGGUGGGGACAAGCAUUUAACAAGCCUUUAAACUUUUCCCAAGCUUGGUGAAAUGACUCAUUUAGACUACAACAAAAAAUUAUCAUUUGACGUU